This 74-nucleotide transfer RNA is filed under the name Agathobacter rectalis. RNAcentral describes it as "tRNA-Arg". It matches the Rfam family "tRNA". From Rfam's summary of the family: Transfer RNA (tRNA) molecules are approximately 80 nucleotides in length. Their secondary structure includes four short double-helical elements and three loops (D, anti-codon, and T loops). RNAcentral also lists the same sequence under 1 other name. The record is from RNAcentral. Lineage: Bacteria; Bacillati; Bacillota; Clostridia; Lachnospirales; Lachnospiraceae.
ACGGGCGUAGUCUAAUUGGACAAAACAACGGUCUUCUAAAUCGUACUUUGCGGGUUCGAGUCCCGUCGUCCGUA